RNAcentral lists this ribosomal RNA (398 nucleotides) under Capra aegagrus (wild goat). RNAcentral describes it as "partial 12S ribosomal RNA". It matches the Rfam family "Bacterial small subunit ribosomal RNA", at positions 792 to 1387 of the family's 1533-position model. Lineage: Eukaryota; Metazoa; Chordata; Mammalia; Artiodactyla; Bovidae. The record is from RNAcentral.
UUGCUUAGCCCUAAACACAAAUAAUUACAGAAACAAAAUUAUUCGCCAGAGUACUACCGGCAACAGCCCGAAACUCAAAGGACUUGGCGGUGCUUUAUACCCUUCUAGAGGAGCCUGUUCUAUAAUCGAUAAACCCCGAUAAACCUCACCAAUCCUUGCUAAUACAGUCUAUAUACCGCCAUCUUCAGCAAACCCUAAAAAGGAACAAAAGUAAGCUCCUUCACAACACGUAAAGACGUUAGGUCAAGGUGUAACCCAUGGAAUGGGAAGAAAUGGGCUACAUUUUCUACCUUAAGAAAAUUAAUACGAAAGCCAUUAUGAAAUUAAUGACCAAAGGAGGAUUUAGUAGUAAACUAAGAAUAGAGUGCUUAGUUGAAUUAGGCCAUGAAGCACGCGCC